UGCGACMCCAGGUCAGGCGGGACUACCCGCUGAGUUUAAGCAUAUCAAUAAGC
Molecule: ribosomal RNA, 53 nt
Filed under: Amaranthus tuberculatus
Lineage: Eukaryota; Viridiplantae; Streptophyta; Magnoliopsida; Caryophyllales; Amaranthaceae
Description: partial 26S ribosomal RNA
Source: RNAcentral